RNAcentral lists this long non-coding RNA (686 nucleotides) under Cyanistes caeruleus (blue tit). RNAcentral describes it as "lncRNA (ENSCCEG00000014096.1)". The record is from RNAcentral. Lineage: Eukaryota; Metazoa; Chordata; Aves; Passeriformes; Paridae.
GCCCGGGGCUGCGAGCGAGGGCCGAGGGGCCGCGGGAGCCGAGCCCGCCCCGGGCCCGCUCGCAGAGCGACUGCCGCCUCGGGGAGCCGCUUCUGUCCCCGGCCCUGUGAAAAGUUUUCCCGUAGGAAAGGAAACUUCUGCCGUGGGGGAAAGAAAAAGAAAAGAAAAAGAAGAAAAGAAGAGCCAGGAGGAUAGGUUGUUCAGUUUACUACCGGAGACCUGACUGUGACAGACCACCAAGAAAACAAAAUUUAUCAAGAGAGUAAAGAAGACCUUCUGCAGCAUCUGCAAGUCUCUCCUUUUUUCUUCAGAGUUACGUAGGAUAACUUAGCCAGAACUUAUUGAUGUCUGCAUGUUCAGUGGACUCGGGAAUGACUGGGAGAUGCAGAAACAUACUCUUUGGAAGAAACAGAAGAGGAGGCAUUUCAAAGAUCCUGCAGGUGACAAAGGUCCUUGUAAAACAUACAGGUAUGGCUGCUCUGCUCUGGUUUUGCUUCAGAGGAAGAACAAACCUUGAGGAAAAUGGAAAAGGAGCACUGCAUGUUUCUGCUGCCUCUCCUGACUCCAGGGCCAAUGAAGGUUGUACCAUUUUUGAGAACCACCCUAGAAUACGUGCAAAAUUGAGCGUGUUUAGAGGCAUCUCUUGCCAGCAAAUCUGUGCACUUGGUUUUUUCCAUGGACUGUAG